UUUAUUUCUCUACAGUGUGUAGUCUUCUUCUUCGUCAAUUUGGUUUUGGGUGGUGAGUAUAGCAAAAAUAUAUAUACAUGUUUAUAGUUAUUUCCAGGUUCAAUGUUCUCUUCUUAACUUGAUACUCUCUUUUAUUUUUUCGCAUGAUGCCAAUGGAUUUACCUCCUCCUUAAGAGCUUAGUUUUUCCCAAAAAUGGAGAAUCAGAUCACGGUCAACAAGACAAACAACCCAGGUAACAAUAACUAUAAAGCAUAAUUUUGAAAUAUUACUCUUUUCUAACUUUUAACAAAAAAAUGAUUAUGACUAUUUACUGUGUAAAUAGAUACAAAACAUCAGACUUUAAUUUGAUUUGGAAUACAAACGUGAGUAUUUAUAUUCAGUUUACCAUAAAAAUUAUGUUUAAAGCUUUUUUCUACUAGAAUUUAUGUAUAGAACAAAAGAAAAGUUAGGGCAUCUUACUAUUGAGGAAUUUAAAAAUGGUAUAGUUGCUGUAGUGGGAAUUAGAUUAAGGUCAAUUGUUAAAAGAUGUAUUAUAGUUAAUUGUAUUUUCUAAGAUAGAAAUAUAUCCAAAUUUCUAUAAUUUUUAUUUUUAUCCACAACUAUUUAGGUUUAUUUUCAGAUUUAAAUCAAGUUUUCUUUUACAAACUUCCUAUGCUGUUUUAAAAACUACCUAAAACAGAAAAGAACUAAUAUUUUAAAUAAAAUAAUUUUCGGAAACUUUUAAAUAAUAAUUUAAGAACAAAAUUUUCUUUUACACACACAAACUAAAUUUGUAAAUUUUAAUAUUAAAACAGAUUAAAAAUCAAAAUAAGUAAGAUUAAAAUCAAAAUUUUAAUUGUAAAAAAUCAAAAUUUUAAUCUUAAAAUUCAAUAUUUAUCUCAAUAGUUUUGGAAACUAUUGCAAACAUGUAACCAUUUUAAAAAUAAUAUCAAAAUUAUUGUUUAACCCCUCCCCCUUUCAAUCUAUUUGAUUUAAUAUGAAUACACCACAGUUCAUCUAUAAAAUAUUUGACAUAAAAUAAUUUAAUUAUGAUUGAAAAUUAUAACAUAAUCAAAUAACUUUAAAUACAGAAAAUUGAUCCGUGCGUAUGCACGGACGGUAAUACUAGUAAUAAUUAAUUCCCCGAUAUCUUCUUUUUCAAAAAAAAAAACAUUAAUUCGAUGAAAUUAAAAUUAUAUUUUCGAUAGAGGAAAAAAAAACUAUGAACAAAGAAAAAUCAUGAUUUGCAUUAUUGAUUAAAUCACUCAUCUUCUUCUUCCUGCAGAUCUGAUAAAGCAAAACAACUCCUAGACUUGAAUGCUCUGUUCUUGAACGAUGAGUUCCUUGCAAUAACAACUCCUCUUGUUCCUCCUCGCUCUUCAUCGUCUCCUUCCUCUUCAUCAUCA
This 1386-nucleotide long non-coding RNA is filed under the name Brassica napus (rape). RNAcentral's name for it is "long non-coding RNA (BNAP_LNC000264)". Lineage: Eukaryota; Viridiplantae; Streptophyta; Magnoliopsida; Brassicales; Brassicaceae. The record is from RNAcentral.